RNAcentral lists this ribosomal RNA (266 nucleotides) under uncultured bacterium. Its description in RNAcentral is "partial 16S ribosomal RNA". It matches the Rfam family "Bacterial small subunit ribosomal RNA", at positions 90 to 354 of the family's 1533-position model. The record is from RNAcentral.
UCUUAGUGGCGGACGGGUGAGUAACGCGUGGGCAACCUGCCCUGUACUAUGGGACAGCCCGUCGAAAGGCGGAUUAAUACCGUAUGUUGUCAUGUUGAUGCAUAUUUUCAUGACCAAAGGCUUCGGCCGGUAAAGGAUGGGGAUGCGUCUGAUUAGCUUGCCGGCGGGGUAACGGCCCACCGGGGCGACGAUCAGUAGGGGUUCUGAGAGGAAGGUCCCCCACAUUGGAACUGAGACAUGGUCCAAACUCCUACGGAAGGCAGCAG